CUUACCAUGCAGUCGAACGAUGAUCUCCCGCUUGCGGGGGUGAUUAGUGGCGAACGGGUGAGUAAUACGUGAGUAACCUGCCCUUGACUCUGGGAUAAGCCUGGGAAACCGGGUCUAAUACUGGAUACUACUCCUCAUCGCAUGGUGGGGGGUGGAAAGGGUUUUACUGGUUUUGGAUGGGCUCACGGCCUAUCAGCUUGUUGGUGGGGUAAUGGCUCACCAAGGCGACGACGGGUAGCCGGCCUGAGAGGGUGACCGGCCACACUGGGACUGAGACACGGCCCAGACUCCUACGGGAGGCAGCAGUGGGGAAUAUUGCACAAUGGGCGGAAGCCUGAUGCAGCGACGCCGCGUGAGGGAUGACGGCCUUCGGGUUGUAAACCUCUUUCAGCAGGGAAGAAGCCACAAGUGACGGUACCUGCAGAAGAAGCGCCGGCUAACUACGUGCCAGCAGCCGCGGUAAUACGUAGGGCGCAAGCGUUGUCCGGAAUUAUUGGGCGUAAAGAGCUCGUAGGCGGUUUGUCGCGUCUGCUGUGAAAGCCCGGGGCUCAACCCCGGGUCUGCAGUGGGUACGGGCAGACUAGAGUGCAGUAGGGGAGACUGGAAUUCCUGGUGUAGCGGUGAAAUGCGCAGAUAUCAGGAGGAACACCGAUGGCGAAGGCAGGUCUCUGGGCUGUUACUGACGCUGAGGAGCGAAAGCAUGGGGAGCGAACAGGAUUAGAUACCCUGGUAGUCCAUGCCGUAAACGUUGGGCACUAGGUGUGGGGGACAUUCCACGUUCUCCGCGCCGUAGCUAACGCAUUAAGUGCCCCGCCUGGGGAGUACGGCCGCAAGGCUAAAACUCAAAGGAAUUGACGGGGGCCCGCACAAGCGGCGGAGCAUGCGGAUUAAUUCGAUGCAACGCGAAGAACCUUACCAAGGCUUGACAUUCACCGGACCGCACUGGAGACAGUGCUUCCCUUCGGGGUCGGUGGAC
Molecule: ribosomal RNA, 976 nt
Filed under: Kocuria sp. Norgv1
Lineage: Bacteria; Bacillati; Actinomycetota; Actinomycetes; Micrococcales; Micrococcaceae
Description: bacterial SSU rRNA
Rfam family: Bacterial small subunit ribosomal RNA
Source: RNAcentral